Molecule: unclassified non-coding RNA, 233 nt
Filed under: Hevea brasiliensis (rubber tree)
Lineage: Eukaryota; Viridiplantae; Streptophyta; Magnoliopsida; Malpighiales; Euphorbiaceae
Source: RNAcentral
GCCCUAUUAACAUGUCUUCUGCUGGGAUUGGGUGUCUGGUGGUACCUUCUGUCAGAGCCCAUAUUGGUUCAACCAACGGCUGCUGCUCACCUGAGUGCGCUAGUGCAAUUAAGGAAGCCGCACAAUGCCAAAUGAGGUCUCUGGGCUUCCCGUGUAUUCAUCCAAAUUAGAUCCAUGAGAAAGUUAUGGACACGUUUACGAAACUGGAAGUCUUUCGAUCCCAUGCAGUCAAU